UUUGUAUUUUUUUCUCAUUUUUUGGGCGGUGUUCUUGUGUAUGGGAGAUCUUGAAUUAUUGUGGAUUUCUUGGUUUUUGGUUGGAUGAAUAUGUGUGAAAGAUAAUGUGUAGAGAAGAGAGAAAUGAUUGAAAAAUGAAUUUUUUGAUUGAGAUGAUUGUUGUGAUGUAGUAGAUUUUGAUGUUGGUGUGGAUGAGAGAUUUUGUGGUUGUUGUGGAUGAGAGAUUUUGUG
Molecule: long non-coding RNA, 231 nt
Filed under: Lupinus angustifolius (narrow-leaved blue lupine)
Lineage: Eukaryota; Viridiplantae; Streptophyta; Magnoliopsida; Fabales; Fabaceae
Description: long non-coding RNA (LANG_LNC002376)
Source: RNAcentral